GACGGAGGGUGCAAGCGUUGUUCGGAUUGACUGGGCGUAAAGGGCGUGUAGGCGGUUUGUCAAGUCGGGUGUGAAAGCCUGGGGCUCAGCCUCAGAAGUGCAUCCGAAACUAGCGAGCUGGAGCGCGAUAGGGGAGGGUGGAAUUCCUGGUGUAGCGGUGAAAUGCGUAGAUAUCAGGAGGAACACCGGCGGCGAAGGCGGCUCUCUGGACGGUGACUGACGCUGAGACGCGAAAGCGUGGGGAGCAAACAGG
This 253-nucleotide ribosomal RNA is filed under the name uncultured bacterium. Its description in RNAcentral is "partial 16S ribosomal RNA". It matches the Rfam family "Bacterial small subunit ribosomal RNA", at positions 524 to 776 of the family's 1533-position model. The record is from RNAcentral.